AGAGAUCCAGGGAAGUGGCCUGGGAGUUCUGGGGCCAGCAUUGAACGCAAGGUGUCAGCAAGUCUCCUGCCAGAGGUCCUGACGGAGGGGCUGUUCCAGGCCAUGCUCCUGGCUUCCGGUGGUUGCCGGCAACCCUGUGCAUUCCCUGCUUGUAGAGGAACUAGAAAGAUAGAAUCUCUACGGACCCCACAAGACGACUGAUACUACAGACUAGACAAGAGCACCAGAUGAGAAAAUGGAGGUACCAAAAAGUGGGCUCUGAACUGCAGAGCCUGGCUCCAGAGCCCUUGUAUUUGACUACUGGGAUCCACCGUUAUUCUCACAGCCGCGUUUCCCACAGGGCUGCUUUGUAUGGCCUCUUAGAAAAGUCCUGCCUGUCUCCACCAUCCAGACUAUGAUGUCCGUGAGGUCAGAGGAAAGGGAGAAUGUCUCACAUACAGAAAAUGCUUGAUCAACAUUGAUGGAAUCAUAAAUGGGCCUCAGCGGCACCUGUCCUGAGUCAGCAUCUCACAGAGGUUUUGCCAGCGCCAGCCACAUCUCCAGCAUGAAGGUGAUUGUCUGAGUGUGUCCAGUCCAGUUCCUGCCUUAAUAAAAAUCACUGCUGCAAGGGAGAGGGCUGCCAAGGCCCUGCCUCCCUCCAACCCCAUCCUAGCCUGAGUCUUAACCAUUCUUCCAAUCCAGUUCCACUUUGGGCCAGUGCUUAACCCAGGGUAGCACUUUUGAGCCUCGCAACUCUUGGGAGUGAGUUUUCAUCCUAACGUUCUCAGAUGAGGAAAUUGGGCCUCAAAGAGUCCACACAGGUGAGGCACCAUGGCUCAUGCCUAUAAUCCUAACACUUUGGGAGGCCAAGGCAGGAGGAAUGCUUGAGCCCAGGAGUUCAAGACCAGCCUGGGCAACAUGGUGACACCCUGUCUCUAUAAAAAAAUACAACAAUUAGGCAAACGUGGUGGCAUGCACCUGUCAUCCCAGCUACCUGGGAGGCUGAGGUGGGAGGAUUGCUUGAGCCCAGGAGGCUGAGGCUGCAGUGAGCCAUGAUCCUGCCAGUACACUCCAGCCUGGGUGACAGAACAAGACCCUGUCUCAAAAACAAAACAAAACAAAAACAAAAACAAAGCAUCCACACAACUAGCAGGUGAAAAACUGGGGUUCAAACUCAGGCCUAUAACACUAAGGGCUGGGCCUGUCCCCACCAAAUCAGUCUUUCCUCAGACAGGCUGAGGUGUCCUCUAUAGACCAAAUAUCUGGAGGUCAGAACACUGAGACACUAGUUAUGUAAAGGCAGGGUGUGAGUUGGUGAGCUCAUCGAGAAAAUGCUUCCUGGGCUGGGUGCAGUGGCUCACACCUGUAAUCCCAGCACUUUGGGAGGCUGAGGUGGACAGAUCACCUCAAGUCAGGAGUUCAAGACCAGCCUGGCCAACAUGCUGAAACUCUGUCUCUACUAAAAAAUACAAAAAUUUGCCAAGCGCAGUGGCACAUGCCUGUAAUACUAGCUCCUCGGGAGGCUGAGGCAGGAGAACCGCUUGAACCCAGGAGGCAGAGGUUGCAGUGAGCCAAGAUUGCACCACUGAACUCUAGCCUGGGUGACAGAGCAAAACUCUGUCUCAAAAAAAAAAAAAGAAAAGAGAAAAAAGAAAGAGAGAGAAAGAAAGAGAGAGAGAAAGAGAAAGAAA
This 1670-nucleotide long non-coding RNA is filed under the name Homo sapiens (human). RNAcentral describes it as "non-protein coding lnc-SMNDC1-2:16". Lineage: Eukaryota; Metazoa; Chordata; Mammalia; Primates; Hominidae. The record is from RNAcentral.